RNAcentral lists this ribosomal RNA (253 nucleotides) under uncultured bacterium. RNAcentral describes it as "partial 16S ribosomal RNA". It matches the Rfam family "Bacterial small subunit ribosomal RNA", at positions 524 to 776 of the family's 1533-position model. The record is from RNAcentral.
UACGUAGGUGGCAAGCGUUGUCCGGAAUUAUUGGGCGUAAAGCGUGCGCAGGCGGUUUUGUAAGCCAGGUGUGAAAUCCCCGGGCUCAACCUGGGAAUGGCAUUUGGGACUGCAAGGCUGGAGUGCGGCAGAGGAGACUGGAAUUCCUGGUGUAGCAGUGAAAUGCGUAGAGAUCGGGAGGAACACCAGUGGCGAAGGCGGCCUUCUGGACCAAUACUGACGCUCAUGCACGAAAGCGUGGGGAGCAAACAGG